This 301-nucleotide ribosomal RNA is filed under the name uncultured bacterium. Its description in RNAcentral is "partial 16S ribosomal RNA". It matches the Rfam family "Bacterial small subunit ribosomal RNA", at positions 509 to 807 of the family's 1533-position model. The record is from RNAcentral.
CAGUAGCCGCGGUAAUACAGAGGGUGCAAGCGUUAAUCGGAAUUACUGGGCGUAAAGCGCGCGUAGGUGGUUUGUUAAGUUGGAUGUGAAAUCCCCGGGCUCAACCUGGGAACUGCAUCCAAAACUGGCAGGCUAGAGUAGGGCAGAGGGUGGUGGAAUUUCCUGUGUAGCGGUGAAAUGCGUAGAUAUAGGAAGGAACACCAGUGGCGAAGGCGACCACCUGGGCUCAUACUGACACUGAGGUGCGAAAGCGUGGGGAGCAAACAGGAUUAGAUACCCGCGUAGUCCCUGUCUCUUAUAC